This 301-nucleotide ribosomal RNA is filed under the name uncultured bacterium. RNAcentral describes it as "partial 16S ribosomal RNA". It matches the Rfam family "Bacterial small subunit ribosomal RNA", at positions 509 to 807 of the family's 1533-position model. The record is from RNAcentral.
CAGUAGCCGCGGUAAUACGUAGGUGGCAAGCGUUGUCCGGAUUUAUUGGGCGUGAAGCGAGCGCAGGCGGUCAAUUAAGUCUGAUGUGAAAGCCCCCGGCUCAACCGGGGAGGGUCAUUGGAAACUGGGAGACUUGAGUGCAGAAGAGGAGAGCGGAAUUCCAUGUGUAGCGGUGAAAUGCGUAGAUAUAUGGAGGAACACCAGUGGCGAAGGCGGCUCUCUGGUCUGUAACUGACGCUGAGGCUCGAAAGCGUGGGGAGCAAACAGGAUUAGAUACCCCAGUAGUCCCUGUCUCUUAUAC